GCCAUUUCACCAACCAAUUUAUGGUCCACAAAGUGCACCGUUGGUUGCACCAAAUAACGAUGUGGGUCUUGACGGAAUGGUUAUAAAUGUUGCUAGUCUUUUAGCUGGAACCGUAACAAAUCCUUUUGGUAAUGGUUAUUUUCAAGGACCUAAAGAAGCUCCUUUGGAAGCUGCUUCGGCUUGCACCGGUGUUUAUGCUAAAGGAGCUUAUCCUGGUUAUGCUGGGGACCUUUUGCUGGACAAAACAAGUGGUGCUAGCUAUAAUGCAAAUGGUGAUAAUGGAAGGAAGUAUUUGUUGCCUGCUAUUGUUGACCCUAAAACCUCGGCUUGUUCUACAUUGGUAUAAAGUAAGAGUGUUUAGUUGUUAGGCAAUGAGAGAUUCUUUGAUUUGUUAAUUCAAUUAGUUGUUAUAGCCUCGAUAAUUCUUUGAUUCUUUGUAAUUUUAAUAAAUAAAUAAUAUCAAUAUUAUUAUGUCCUCCAUAAAUAAUGUUAUUGAAUGAAGCAAAGAUAUCAUAAUUUUACCAUUAUAGUUUUAUUAUAUACUGAUGCAUUAUAAAUAGAAAGUGAAAAAGAAAAAGAGCAAUGCUAUAAAUAAAUAGUGAAAAAUCUUGAGUUGAGAGUUAUGAUGAGAUUUGCAUCAAGCCCUAUAGUUGGCAAGUUGACUAUGAAUGUGACUAAUACACCGUUCAAUUCCAAAUCAAGCCAAGCUACUUAAUAUUAAAUUUAAUUUUUUUCCAUUUUUUCCUUUUUAAAAUAAAGGGUUGGGAGUGUUGAAGCACAUAGUAUAAAUUAAAUGGUAAAAUUGAAAAAGAAAUAGUUAAUAUUAUACUGAAAAUUGAAGUAAUACUCGAUUUUAGAUACAAUGAGUAUUUUGAAUGAUUAAAUAAUUCAAUUUCUUGAUGAAAUCAUUGUAAGAUCGUGUAAACUAAUUUCAUAUUUCGUCAUCGUGAGUUUAACUCAGUUGUUAUGUACAAUGCAUAAUAUAUAGAAGGUUUGUGGUUCGAAUCCCGACCACAAUUAAAAAAAGAAAACUAAUUUCAUAUUUCCAUAAACAACCCUUAAAAUAUUGCUAAAAAAGUAAAUAUGUAUGGAUAAAUGGCGUUAAUUUCAUAAAUCCAACUUCAACUAAUGCAUAUGCAAUGGUAAAAUAAUAAUUUUUUGGUCUAUGUUCUCUCUCUUUUUUUUUUUUUUUUUUUAUAUAUAACAAAGGUUGCCUUUUCUUGCCAUAAAAUAUAAUAAAGAUUAUCUUUAAAAAAAAAUUUGUUAAGGGUUUAGUUUAAAAUUAUAAUCUUAUCAUUAUUGUCAAUAUUAAUUUUUUAUCAAGUACGUUAGAAGUUAGAAUUUCACCUUUAAAUUGAAUAAGUCGUGAAUCCAAAAUUCAAACCUGAACCCUACGUUUAUAAUAUAAUGUCCCUAUCAAUUGAGUUAUACUCACGAAGACUCUUCAUUGUCAAUAUAACUCACAAAACAUUUCAUCAUAGUUGAUCCAUAAUAGAAUCCUCGCAAUUACUGACCAUAUUCAAUAUACAAUUACUACUAAAAAAAAGUGGAGAAUUCACCAACACCCUUUCAUUUUGGAACCUGUAGAUCAACAGACUAAUGUCAUGUUAGAGUCGAACUUGACGAUGGAUACGUCACCUAGUACAACUCAACAGUCUUUGGUGGCGGUUCAAGAAACAAAUACGAAUGCUACUCUUGGGCAUUAUGAGGCGUCAAUUGAUCCGACUCAACAAAAGGAAAUUAAUCUUGUUCAACAUUUGUUGAUUCAAAGAAAAUUGUUGUGGUACCAUUUACGCCUUAUCUUACAAAAGGUCAAAAAAAGAAAAUUAGCAAGGCAACAUAUCACAACAAAGGAUUGACCCCCAACUUAAGGCGACAACGCUCUCGAACCUCGCUCUCAUAACCGCUCGAGGGAGAGUAACCGUUGGACGACGAAUCUACCAUAUUCUCAGCAGUUUCAAAGCAAAUACUCAUCUUUGUCAACCCAAAAAACGAAGGAAAUGUACAAAAUGCAAAGGAAGAAAGGAAGUACCUUUGAAGUUCAAAGGUUUUUCAGAAAAAAGAGGCAAAACUUUGUAGAACCGUAAACCCCAGAAAUGCAGCCUAGAGAGGAAGGAUUUUCGCGCAAGUUGGUCGGAGGAAAAACUGGGAAAAGAAAACAAUACACUUCUAGGUGAAGUUUAAGAGUGAAUGCAGAAUAUCUGAAACCAUGAAGAUAAAGAGCGUAAAAGUUGGAAACAAAAAGUUUCCCUUCUUUUAUAGGCUUCAAAAGUAUCCAGAUCGACGAUUCAGAAGAGAAGAAACCUUGAAACCAAAGGUUUCUGAUUCAACGAUUAAUGGCAAUAUGACCUCGAACCACGAAGGGCACUCAAGUGGCACGCGCGUGAAGCGCAAAGGCCGGUGCGUGUGCGGGCCACGAAGCAUGCACGUGGAAAGUAAAACUAAACAACCAUCACGUUAUGAACGUUUCAGUUUGAAGCAUUAAAUGCCAACUGCUCCCACUAACUCGCAUGGGGCGCCACCUCCUCGAGGAAGGAAAAACUUCUCGCAAAUGUAAAACUACAGAGGCGCCAACAUGUGAAGGCGCCUGAUCGUAUGCCUCUCUUCACAGCUAAAAGCCAUUGCGCCUUAAAUGCAUCAACAGUUUUGGGGACAAAUGUUCUGGACCAGUUAGAAGACCAAUCUUACGUUGACACGUGGCCUGGCCUACACAGCCUUAAGGCUCUGCGCCUAAAGGAACACGCCAGCUUAAAUGCAUUGUGCCACACAGGAGCGCCCGCGAUGAUAACCUUACAUGUGUCCUCUAAUCGUCCCUAAUCACACGCCGCAAAACUCGAAGACGGUUACUCUCAACGCGCGCCUAUAUAAGGGUGACCUUGCUUCACCCCCAAGGUAUGAUUCACUUUUCACAACACCUUCUAAACACUCUUUCUCAAUUCCAUUACUGACUUGAGCGUCGGAGUGCUAACGUGUCUGAAGACACCUUUUGUCCCACUGCAAGGACUCGUCACCACCGUACCAGAAACCAUCACCGUCACAUCGGAGCACUUUCCACCACUGUUACCUCUCAUCCAUCCUCACCGGACAAAUCAAAACUUCUUCUGCAAACCUUUGAACCUUAAAACUUAUCUUAAACCUGAUGAACCCCCAAUCUCAACUCACGUAAACUUAUGAAGCAAAAAAAAAAAACACAAAUAAAGAAUAUAUAAAGAGAUCACCCAAAACAAGCGAAGAUAAAAAUUGCACAUUCUUGAUACGAGCAAAAUAAGUGCAAUUUUCUUAAAUUAUACUUCACAUAUCCCUCAUUAUAAAAUCCGUUGCAAAAAAAUUGUUUAUCCUUAAUACAUGAUUAUCCAUAAAUUUUAAGUACAUUGCUUUUUUUUUUUUCUUUUUUCUUUCUAAAUAUCAAUUAUUAAUAAGAGUUUAAUGGUGGUGGAUCGACAUUUCAAAACAUUUUUGCACACACAACCAAAAAACAUUCAGAAUUCUCACAUAAAUUAAAAAUAUUAAUUGGCGUGACGAUUUUAAAUAUUUUAAUUGAUUGUGUGCAAAAUUAUUUUGAAUUGUCGAUACACUACCAUUAAUCUCUAUUAAUAUUACCAAUCUAUCUUAGAAUAUAUUUUAAUAUAGUAACAUUGAAAAUAUUUACACAAAAAGAUAUUUAAUAAUAAUUAGAGUCGACAUUUGGAACAAAUUUAUUAUUUCUUCAACUUUUUUUUAGCACGAUUUUUAUAAGAGAUGAAUAGAAUAAAAGUGAUUGAUCAUCAAUCACGCAAAAGAAGAGUUGUUACGCUCUUCGAUGGAGAAUGGACCCAAAAGCUAGGGGCAUGCCUUGUACAAAGAAUACACAGCUUUGUCGUUUUGUUUCAUAGCUGUGCUGUUGCCUGUUACUGUCCCAAAUCAAUGAAUUCAUGCAAACUGGAAUAACAAAAUAACAACGCGUGAUAUAGCUGGCACAUCCACCACUCACUCCACUCAUCCUCCUACAUAAUUUAACUUCAACUAUAUAUAUACCUACAACUACAUCUUACAUUUCCAUCACCUCACAACAUUUCCACAUUCCCUUCUACUUCAUACUUUGUUCUAUCUCAAAAUGGCAUCUUUUAAGUUAAGUGUUAUCUUCACCCUUUUUCUCACAAUUUCACUACUUCAAUUGAGUUCAGCUAGGAAACUCACUGAAUCAGACCAACAACUUAAAUUUCAAUUCCACAAAGGCCCUCUUCUAACCGGUAAAAUUUCUGUAAACCUUAUUUGGUAUGGAAAAUUCAAACCAUCUCAACGAGCGAUCAUAACUGAUUUCAUAACCUCGUUGUCUUCUCCCAUAAAACCAAAAACCACAACACAACCAUCGGUUGCCACGUGGUGGAAAUCAACUGAAAAAUAUUACCAACUCACUAACAACAAGAAAUCAGUUAACCUAGCUCUAUCACUAGGUACUCAAAUUUUGGACGAGAAAUACUCUUUAGGAAAAUCUCUCACAACUAACCAAAUCCUUAAACUCGCAUCAAAAGGACAACAACAAAACGCCAUCAACGUUGUCCUAACAGCCGCUGAUGUGUUAGUUGACGGUUUUUGUUCAAGUAGGUGUGGAACCCAUGGUUCUUCUUAUGGUGCACGCGUGAAUGGAAAGAGAAACAAGUUCGCAUACAUUUGGGUUGGAAAUUCAGAGACACAAUGUGCUGGUCAAUGCGCGUGGCCAUUUCAUCAACCAAUUUAUGGUCCACAAAGUGCUCCGUUGGUUGCACCAAAUAACGAUGUGGGUCUUGACGGAAUGGUUAUAAAUGUUGCUAGUCUUUUAGCUGGAACCGUAACCAAUCCUUUUGGUAACGGUUAUUUUCAAGGACCAAAAGAAGCUCCUUUGGAAGCUGCUUCGGCUUGCACCGGUGUUUAUGCUAAAGGAGCUUAUCCUGGUUAUGCUGGGGACCUUUUGGUGGACAAAACAAGUGGUGCUAGCUACAACGCUAAUGGUGAUAAUGGAAGGAAGUAUUUGUUGCCUGCUAUUGUUGAUCCUAAAACUUCAGCUUGUUUUACAUUGGUAUAAAGAAUAAUUGUUUUGUUGUUAGGCAAUGAGAGAUUCUUUGAUUUAUUCAUUCAAUUAGUUGUUAUAACCUCGAAAUUAAUCUUUUAUUCUUUGAUUCUUUUUAAUCUUAAUAAAUAAAUAAUAUCAAUAUUAUUAUAUUGUCCUCCAUACAUGCAACACAUGUACAGACGGACGACGGUGCACAUGGCAUACUCUAUCCAUCUCAACGAUAAACAUUCACACAAAUCAAAUUUUAUUGAAUGAAGCAAAGAUAUCAUAAUUUUACCAUUGUAGUCUUACUAUAUAUCCUGAUGCAUAAUAAAUAGAAAGUGAAAAGAAAAAAAAAUAGAACGUGAAAAAUUGAGUUGAGAGUUAUGAUGAGAUUUGCAUGAAGCUUAUAGUUGGCCAGUUGACUAUGAAUGUGACUAAUACACCGUUCAAUUCCAAAUCAAGCUACUUAAUAUUAUUAUAAUUUUUUUUCCUUUUUUUGGUAUUAAAUUUAAUUUUUCCAUUUUUUUUUCUUUUUAAAAGAAAGAGUUGGGGAGUGUUGAAGCACAUAGUAUAAAUUAAAUGGUAAAAUUGAAAAAGAGAUAGUUAAUAUUAUACUGAAAAUUGAAAUAAUACUCGAUUUUAGAUAAACUUCUUUGGCAAAUGUCCCACUCAUAAUGUGACACAAUGAUUAUUUUGAAUGAUUUUUUUUUUUUUAAGAAAUUAUUUCAAUGACUAAAUAAUUCAAUUUCUUGAUGAUAUCAUCGUAAGUAGACAUGACAACACAACCCGUCCCCAUUGGAUCCCACCCACCCCGUCCCGAUUUUAAUGGGGAAAAGCCGAAUUGGUUAUGGGUGCGGGUUUGGAGAAAACCCGGAGUUUUAAUACGGGGGCGGGGGAUACUCACACUCGCCCUCGCCCCGUUUUUUUAAAUUACUAUUUUUAUCCUUAUUUUUUAUAGUCAUAUUACUCAUAUACCCUUCUUAAUCUUAACAUAGAAGCUUUUGUUUUAAUUAUCUUGCCACUAAACAUAUUUUUUCACGAUGAUGUUAUGAUCUCUAAUGAAUUUAGAAGCUUUUGUUAUUAGCUCUUUUUGUUAUUGUGAAAAAAUAAAAUAAAAAAUUGUCUACAAUUUUCGCGGGUGGGGUUGGGGAAAUCCGUCCCCGUUGGGGCAGGUCCGGGUGUAAAAUUUCUAUCCAGACGGGUUUGGGGGUGGGGGCGGGGCUGGGUACAAUGAAACAGGGACGGGGCCGGGUAUGUUAAAACUUGCCCCCGCCCCGUUGCCAUGUUUAAUUGUAAGAUCAUGUAAAUUAAUUUUUUUCCGUGAAUUUAGUUCAGUUGAUAAGGACAAUGCAUAAUAUAGAUAAGAUUCGAUUUUUCAGACAAAAAAAAAAAAAAAACUAAUUUAUUUCCAAAAACAACCCUUAAAAUAUUACUAAAGAAGUAAAUUUGUAUGGAUAAAUGGCGUUAAUUUCAUAAUUCCAACUUCAACUAAUGCAUAUGCAAUGGUUUAUAUAAAAAAGGUUGCCUUUUCUUGUCGAAAAAUAUAAUAGAGAUUAUCUUUAAAAAAAAAAUAAUGUUAAGGGUUCAGUUUAAAAUUAUAAUCUUUAUCAUUAUUGUCAAUAUUAAUUUUUUUAUCAAGUAGGUUAGUGUUAGAAUUUCAUCUUUAAAAUGCAUAAGUCGUGAAUCCAAAAUUCACACCAUAUCAACUAAGUUAUGCUCACGAAGACUCUUUAUUAUCAAUAUUACUCACAAAACAUUUCAUCAUAGUUGAUCCAUAAUAGAAUCCUCGCAAUUACUACCAUAUUCAAUAUACAACUACUAUUAAAAAAAAGUGAAGAAUUCACCAACACCCCUUCAUUUUGGAACCUCUAGAUCAACAGGCUAAUGCCAUGUUAGAGUCGAACUUAACGAUGGAUACGUCACCUAGUACAACUCAACAGUCUUUGGUGACGGUUCAAGAAACAGAUACGAAUGCUACUCUUAGGCAUUCUGAGGCGUCAAUUCAUCCGACUCUACAAAAGGAAAUUGAUCUUGUUCAGCAUUUGUUGAUUCAAAGAAAAAUGUUGAGGUGCCAUUUACGCAUUAUCUUACAAAAGGUCAAAAAUAGAAAAUUAGCAAGGCAACAUAUCACACCCGAUCUAUGAAUUCCCCUAUAGAACCGAAGGGUGGUUGAGCAGCCUCUUUUUCUUUUGGGCCAUUUUUUUCUUUCUUCGUUUAGUUUUUUUUUGUUUUUUUCUCUUACUUUCUUUCGGUUUUGUUUUGAGGGUUUUGGUUUAGCCCCCUCUUGUAUAGUUUCUUUCUUUUUUAUUUAUAUUAUGAGUGGGUGGCAGUGUAAGGCUUUCUUGAGAUGCCAACGGUGUUGUGAUGUCCGAAUGAUCCACUCGAAAAUCAGUUGUUAGAAUUAACAGGUCUUCAAAUCGUUCAUUUAAAAAAAAGGAAACCCGAUUUUUCAAACUCUCAUUGUUGUUUUAACUCGCUCUAUUUUAUUGAAAAAAAAUAAAAUACAUUUACACUUUGCAAGACUAUAUCUAUGUGUUUGUGUCUUGUUAGACUUUGUAGAUCUCUUGUUAUUUGUUAAUAACUUGAUAAUUUUAAUUUAUCUGUAUAUUUAUGUUUUUUUUUUUCUUCCAUGUCUUGCUAAUAUAUAAGCAUUUGUGUUUGACCAUAAAGUUUAUUAAAGAUUUUAGUAUUUUUCAAUAACAUUUUUAACUUACUAAAAUGUAUUUUCUAUUUAUAUACACGUUUAUUUGUUUUGAUAACUAUUUUAUUGGUGCAAAAUAUCUACCAAUAAUAUUAAUGAUUAUUCUCCGCUUCAGAACCUAUUUUUCAAAUUCAAGGGAUCUCCUCUCGGAACAACAUAUUUUUCAUCCACCGUGCGUGGAUCUGAGACCUUAAGAGAUCCGAGUAAAAUUCCACAAAGACCAACAUAAUGUUAGUGUGUAUAUAUUUAUUGAGUGUAGCUACCGAUAGUUGAUGCUUAUUCUGCGAAACUAGAAUUUUCAAUGACAUCUAUUUGUUUUAAUUAAUAUUACAUAUAUAGAGACUCAAUAAUAAUUUUAUGUGUUCUAAAUUUCUACAUGAUCCUAUCUUUGUUGUUUUGUCUAGUUUUCCACUCGUGCCGAAUUUAAUUGAGCAGUGUUGACAACACUUUUGUUUUAACAUUCUCUUCAACAUUUACUUUUUUAUUUGCUUAAAUCAAAUAGGUGUCACACUUUAAAAUUGAAUUACACUUGUUAUGGUCAUAUAUUAACGUCAUCCAAUAAAAAAAUAAGUGUUGAUGAGAAUGUUGAAAAUAAAGUGUCAUCAAAAUUUCUUAUUUUAAUUUGAACAUGUUGUGUUUAAAUCUCAUUUUUCACAACAAAUGUGAUGUUUUACCGAUACCCUAAUGUGUGUACGAGGGUAUGAAGGUAAGACUAAGAACUAAGAAACUAUACGGUAUAUAUACUUUAUCUCAUUUUUUGUUACAUUGCAUCAAAAACCCACAUGAUAUGUCAUGUUAGCCAUGUCAUCUAACUUAGAUUGAAAGAUGAAAUUAAAGACUAAACCAAUGGGGGCUAUUCAGAGAAAUUUAUUGGAUCAUCUUAUGUCGUUUUGUGGGUUAGGGGGUAUGUCAAAAAUGUUCGGGUGGCUCUUAACAUCAUUUGGGUUUUGGAUGUGUGGGGUUAUUUAGCACCAGAGAAAUAGACUCAAAUUCAAUCAUAAGGAGGAAUAUUUGCAAUCUUAUGCGAAAAAGUUAAGCUUUAAUCAUUUUCGUGGUUGAAAUUAAGAUAUAUUACUUUCGAUUUCGAUUAUCAUUUUUUGAGGCUUAAUCAUAUUCAUUGCCUAACUGUUCUAACUUAGCUUAUUGUAUCUUCUUUUGUUUUGUUUAUCUUGUAAAGUUAAGUCGUUUCUGAUACAUCUUGUGCUGAAAGAUUUGUUUUGGUUGGUAAUUUAUAUAUUUCAUUUUGGUCUCUUAGAAAAAACUAACAAUGGGGAUAUAGGGAUUAAAAAAAUUGUUAAAAAAACAUAGGGAUAAGAUCUAAAAUAGAGAAUUGAAUGACUAAAAUUGGCUAUUUACAUAAGUAUACGUAUGGAAGUUUUGCAAAUGUCCUUUUAACCUUAAAACUUAUCUUAACAUUGAUGAGUCUGAAUCUCAACUCUCGUAAACUUUUAUGUAAAAAAAAAAAAAAAAAAACACAAAUGGAGAAAAUAUAAAGACAUUACCUAAAACAAGUGAAGAUUAAAAUUGCACAUUCUCAAUACAAUCAAAUUAAGUGCAAUUUUCUUAAAUUAUACUUCAUAUAUCGCUAAUUAUAAGAUCUGUUUUAUUUUUAAAGGUCUAAUUAUAAGAUUUGUUACAAAAAUUUGUUUGUCCCUUAAUACAAAAGUAUCUAUAAAUUUUGGGGUAAUAGUCCCUUUGGUCCAUUAAUUUGUAAUGAGCAGUUACAAUGAUCCUUAAAUGUAUAAAAGUAUCAAAAUAGUCUAUGAUUGUGCAAUUUGUUAGUCAAAAUAGUCUUUGAUGUUAAAAUACUUCAUUAAUAUUGUCAUAUUACCCCGUCAAUAUACUUACUUAUUGUCAUAUCAGUCUUUAUAAAUACUUAAUUAUUGUCAUUUUAAUCCUUAUAUGAAAAGAGUUAUUGUGAACGUACAUUGAGAGAUUACUUUAGCGCCAGAGACCAUUUUGAGUAACAGAGUGCACAAUCAGAGACUAUUUUAAAAUUUUGAUAUAUCGAGAGACUAUUGUGACUACUCAUUACACAUUCAAGAACCAAAUGAUUAUCCCAUAAAUUUUUAAAUACAUUGAUUAUUUUUUUUCUAAAUAUCUAUUAUUAAUACAACCACUCUAUCUUAGAAUAUAAAAAAUAUUUACAUUGAAAGUAUUUAUACAACAAGAUAUUUUAUAAUAGUUAGAGACAUUUGGAACAAAUUUAUUCUUUCUUAUAACUUUUCUUAGCAUGAUUUUUAUAAGAGAUGGAUAGAAUAAAAGUGAUUGAUCAUCAAUCACGCAAAAGAAAAGUUGUUACGCUCUUCCAUGGACAAUGGACCCAAAAGCUAGUGGCAUACCUUGUACAAAGGAUACACAGCUUUGUCGUUUGGUUUCAUACAUGUGCUGUUAAUUGUCCCAAAUCUAUGAAUUCAUGCAAACUGGAAUAAUAAAAUAUCAACGCGUAAUAUAGCUGGCACAUCCUCCACUCACCCUCCAACAUAAUUUGACUUCAACUAUAUACCUUUCUAUUUUACACGUUAAUUAAUUCCUUUUAAAUACACUUUCCACUAUAUAUAUACCUACAACCCCAUCUUACAUUUCCAUCAGCACAUAACAUUUCCACAUUCCUUCUACUUCAUACUUUGUUCUAUCUCAAUACAUAUCCCAAAUGGCAUCUUUUAAGUUAAGUGCAAUCUUUACUCUUUUUCUCACAAUUUCACUACUUCAUUUAAUCUCAGCUGCUAGAAAAUUCACUGAAUCAGACCAACAACUUAAAUUUCAAUACCACAAAGGCCCUCUUCUCACCGGAAAAAUCUCAAUCAACCUCAUUUGGUAUGGAAAAUUCAAACCAUCUCAACGAGCCAUCAUAACUGAUUUCAUAACCUCCCUCUCUUCUCCUAAACAAGGAACAACCACAUCACAACCAUCCGUUGCCACGUGGUGGAAAUCAACCGAAAAAUAUUACCAACUCGCGAACAAUAAGAAAUCAGUUAACCUAGCUCUCUCACUAGGUUCUCAAAUUCUCAAUGAGAAUUACUCAUUAGGAAAAUCUCUCACAACUAACCAAAUCCUUAAACUCGCAUCAAAAGGACAACAACAAAACGCCAUCAACGUUGUCCUAACAGCCGCUGAUGUGUUAGUUGACGGUUUUUGUUCAAGUAGGUGUGGAACACAUGGUUCUUCUUAUGGUGCACUCGUAAAUGGAAAGAGAAACAAGUUCGCAUACAUUUGGGUUGGAAAUUCUGAAACUCAAUGUGCUGGUCAAUGCGCGUGGCCAUUUCACCAACCAAUUUAUGGUCCACAAAGUGCACCGUUGGUUGCACCAAAUAACGAUGUCGGUCUUGAUGGAAUGGUUAUAAAUGUUGCUAGUCUUUUAGCUGGAACCGUAACCAAUCCUUUUGGUAAUGGUUACUUUCAAGGACCAAAAGAAGCUCCUUUGGAAGCUGCUUCGGCUUGCACCGGUGUUUAUGCUAAAGGAGCUUAUCCUGGUUAUGCUGGGGACCUUUUGGUGGAUAAAACAAGUGGUGCUAGCUACAAUGCUAAUGGUGAUAAUGGAAGGAAGUAUUUGUUGCCUGCUAUUGUUGACCCUAAAACCUCGGUUUGUUCUACGUUGGUAUGAAGAAACUAAACAAAAGAAUGUGAAUGUGACGUCUCUUCGUGGU
This 11359-nucleotide long non-coding RNA is filed under the name Medicago truncatula (barrel medic). RNAcentral's name for it is "long non-coding RNA (MTRU_LNC003374)". The record is from RNAcentral. Lineage: Eukaryota; Viridiplantae; Streptophyta; Magnoliopsida; Fabales; Fabaceae.